AAACCCUGGUUCCCAUACAAUCACUGAAGUUAAGCAACAUCGAGCCUGGUCAGUACAUAGAUGGGUGACUACCUGGAAAUAUCAGGUGCUAUA
Molecule: non-coding RNA, 93 nt
Organism: Acanthosepion pharaonis
Lineage: Eukaryota; Metazoa; Mollusca; Cephalopoda; Sepiida; Sepiidae
Source: the annotation of a GenBank genome assembly